This 377-nucleotide long non-coding RNA is filed under the name Helianthus annuus (common sunflower). Its description in RNAcentral is "sRNA HanXRQr2_Chr17g0819991". The record is from RNAcentral. Lineage: Eukaryota; Viridiplantae; Streptophyta; Magnoliopsida; Asterales; Asteraceae.
UCUCAAACCCUAACUUCACCAAAUUGAUCAAUUGAAGGUUAAUCCUUGCCCCAAAUCGAAAUCUGAAUAGAGAUUCGUGAUCCUCAUCACAAGGGGGUUACAAGAAAAGCGGACUAUGUCCCAAUACGAGAACGGGCGCAGGAGCGUCAAGCGGACAAGCGGGCGGCGAACCACGUUUAAAAGGCCUACUUUGAAGGUAACAUGAUGGAUCUUGCGGAUGGCGAUCAAGCACAUGAUGAAGAACCGAACACUACAUUUUGAAGCUUCCGCAAUGUUUUAAAUCUUUAGUAGUCUUAUGUAUGGGUUGUAAACACUUGUUAAACUACUUUUGAAAUGUUUUAACCUAGUCAUUAGUUGACUAAGGUUGACGUACUUAU